ACGCGACGUGCGUGCGUGUCGCUCGAUGCGUCGCGCUCGACCUCGCGUCGUGCGCGCGCGCACGGUGCGCGUGUACGCUUCGACGUCCGUGGAGGGCGUGCACUUCUCUCUCAGUAAUGCAUCGCGACCCGUUCGAUGUGGCGGUCUAAGCGCCGUCGUAACGCGGAGACCGGUGGUCGUGAUCGCAUUCCAUGCGACCGACCGUCGGACCGUGAUGGACGCCGACCGGUCGUCGGACGGUGUGUAUAAUGAAUCGCGCACGCGUCUCUCGUAGUACGCGUCCGGCCCGACGCGAGGUGCCGCCGUCGUCGUGUUCACACGGCGGGGGCCGGUGCCUGUCGUUGCUGCCGUGUCGUCUCGGACAGUGCGACGUAUCUGUCUGCGAUGAUUCCGUUUCGGGCACUCGCAGGACCCGUCUUGAAACACGGACCAAGGAGUCUAGCAGGUGUGCRAGUCAUUGAGAUUGUUUUGUAAACUGAAAGGCACAACGAARGUGAAKGUUUUCUCCUCCAUUUUGGUGGAUAGAGAGAACUAUGGGAGGAUGGAGCGUCGGUCUCGAUCGAUCUCUCGCACUCCCGAGGCGUCUCGUUUCCAAUCUGUGAAUGCAGGCGCGCUCUGAGCGCAGAUGCUGGGACCCGAAAGAUGGUGAACUAUGCCUGGUCAGGUCGAAGUCAGGGGAAACCCUGAUGGAGGACCGUA
This 699-nucleotide ribosomal RNA is filed under the name Lygomusotima sp. Mandai Rd 3. RNAcentral's name for it is "partial 28S ribosomal RNA". It matches the Rfam family "Eukaryotic large subunit ribosomal RNA", at positions 602 to 879 of the family's 3401-position model. The record is from RNAcentral. Lineage: Eukaryota; Metazoa; Arthropoda; Insecta; Lepidoptera; Crambidae.